ACAUCGGUGACAGGUGGUGCAUGGUUGUCGUCAGCUCGUGUCGUGAGAUGUUGGGUUAAGUCCCGCAACGAGCGCAACCCCUAUUGUUAGUUGCCAUCAUUCAGUUGGGCACUCUAGCGAGACUGCCGGUAAUAAACCGGAGGAAGGUGGGGAUGACGUCAAAUCAUCAUGCCCCUUAUGACCUGGGCUACACACGUGCUACAAUGGUUGGUACAACGAGUUGCGAGUCGGUGACGGCGAGCUAAUCUCUUAAAGCCAAUCUCAGUUCGGAUUGUAGGCUGCAACUCGCCUAUAUGAAGUCGGAAUCGCUAGUAAUCGCGGAUCAGCACGCCGCGGUGAAUACGUUCCCGGGCCUU
This 356-nucleotide ribosomal RNA is filed under the name uncultured Streptococcus sp. Its description in RNAcentral is "bacterial SSU rRNA". It matches the Rfam family "Bacterial small subunit ribosomal RNA", at positions 1025 to 1382 of the family's 1533-position model. The record is from RNAcentral. Lineage: Bacteria; Bacillati; Bacillota; Bacilli; Lactobacillales; Streptococcaceae.